RNAcentral lists this ribosomal RNA (1566 nucleotides) under Pristimantis lancinii (Lancini's robber frog). Its description in RNAcentral is "partial 16S ribosomal RNA". It matches the Rfam family "Bacterial large subunit ribosomal RNA", at positions 438 to 2925 of the family's 2925-position model. The record is from RNAcentral. Lineage: Eukaryota; Metazoa; Chordata; Amphibia; Anura; Strabomantidae.
CUAAAAAUCUAGCCCUCCCCCCACUCCCCACCCAUAAUCAAAACCCAAAACAAAAUAUUUUAUCUGUUUAGUAAAGAAGAUUAAAAAACUUUUAAGAGCUAUAUUCUAGUACCGCAAGGGAAAAAUGAAAUAAAAUGAAAAUCUUAAAGCAUAAAAUAGUAGAGACUUAACCUCGUACCUUUUGCAUCAUGGUUUAGCUAGUCUAACCAGGCAAAAUGAACCUUUUUAAGUCUGACUUCCCGAAACUAAGUGAGCUAUUUUAGGGCCGCUAAACGAGCCAACCCUUCUAUGUUGCAAAAUAGUGGGAAGACCCUAAAAUAGAGGUGAUAAGCCUAACGAACUUGGUUAUAGCUGGUUUCUCGAAAAAAGAAUUUUAGUCCAACCUAAAGCAAUGUAAAUUCAAAUAAAUUUCACCCACCCUUUAGAGCAAUUCAAAUAAGGUACAGCCUAUUUGAUACAGGAUUCAACCUUCACCCACGGGUAAUAUUUUAUUAUAUUUACAAGUAGGCCUAAUAGCGGCCACCUUUUAAAAAGCGUCAAAGCUUUAACACUUUAAAUCUAACUCCCCAUAUACCCCCCUCAAACCGUACGGAGAACUUCUAUAANCUUAUAGAAAUUUUUAUGCUAAAACUAGCANCAAGAGUUUAAUAUCCUCUCUUUAUUGUCCACAUAUGUCAGAAAAAUUCCCUAUGACAAUUAACAAACCUAAAUCACAGUAGUAACUUUUACCAGGAAAAUCCUACUAUUAUAAUUGUUAACCUAACACAAGCACAUUUCAAGAAAGACUGAGAGAAAGAGAAGGAACUCGGCAAACAUUAAUCCCGCCUGUUUACCAAAAACAUCGCCUCUUGAACCCAUAAGAGGUCCCGCCUGCCCAGUGACUCUGUUCAACGGCCACGGUAUUCUAACCGCGCAAAGGUAGCGUAAUCACUUGUUUUCUAAAUAAAGACUAGUAUGAAAGGCAUCACGAGGAUUAAACUGUCUCCUCUCCCCAUUCAGUGAACCUAUUCUCCCCGUGAAGAAACGGGGAUAUAAAAAUAAGACGAGAAGACCCUAUGGAGCUUUAAACAUCAUAACACCUGCUUUAAUUCCCUCACCAAGGUUACCCCCACAGCACAGUGAUUACAUGUUUUUGGUUGGGGUGACCGCGGAGUAAAAACAACCCUCCACGAUGAAAGCUUCCCUAAACAAUAAGCCACAACUUUAUGUAUUAACAAAUUAACAUUCAUUGACCCAAUUUAUUGAUUAACGAACCAAGUUACCCUAGGGAUAACAGCGCAAUCCACUUCGAGAGCCCAUAUCGACAAGUGGGCUUACGACCUCGAUGUUGGAUCGGGAUACCCAAGUGGUGCAGCCGCUACUAAAGGUUCGUUUGUUCAACGAUUAAAACCCCACGUGAUCUGAGUUCAGACCGGAGUAAUCCAGGUCAGUUUCUAUCUAUUAUAUAGCUUCUUUUAGUACGAAAGGACCAAAAAAGCAUGGUCAAUACCCAAAGCAAACCAUAAUUCUUAAUUUUAGACCUCAACUCAAAAAAUUAUUAACUUAUUCUCCCAAUCAAGAAAAGAU